GAUGCCAGGGUCAAAAGUUCAAAAAGCCGUUCAUGCUUGCAUGAUAAGGCUUUUGAACUUGGGACCCGCCAAACAUGAGAAAGCAGCGAUUUACGCAGUAAAUCAGCGGAUUUCGAAUGUUUAUAGAAUUGCGAGAGUUGCUUUGCAGCGGAGCAAUUCGUAGGCAUC
Molecule: small RNA, 168 nt
Filed under: human gut metagenome
Description: Clostridiales-1 RNA
Rfam family: Clostridiales-1 RNA
Source: RNAcentral